RNAcentral lists this ribosomal RNA (422 nucleotides) under uncultured archaeon. RNAcentral describes it as "partial 16S ribosomal RNA". It matches the Rfam family "Archaeal small subunit ribosomal RNA", at positions 323 to 746 of the family's 1478-position model. The record is from RNAcentral.
CUACGGGGUGCAGCAGGCGCGUAGCCUUUACAAUGCACGAAAGUGUGAUAAGGGGAUCCCAAGUGCUCAUGUAUUGCAUGAGCUUUUGCCAAGAGUAAAUAUCUUGGCGAAUAAGUGGUGGGAAAGACUGGUGCCAGCAGCCGCGGUAACACCAGCGCCACGAGUGGCAUCCACAUUUAUUGGGCCUAAAGCGUCCGUAGCCGGAUUGGAAAAUCUCUUGUGAAAUCAUGGGGCUUAACUCCAUGCCGUGCAGGAGACACUAUCAAUCUAGGGACCGGGAGGAGUCUGAGGUAUUCUGGGGGGAGCGGUAAAAUGUUAUAAUCCCCGGAGGACCACCUGUGGCGAAGGCGUCAGACUAGAACGGAUCCGACGGUGAGGGACGAAAGCUGGGGGAGCAAACCGGAUUAGAUACCCCCGUAGUC